UUUAACAUCCUCUUUCGCGUUCCGACCUAUCCCUCUACCUUCAACCCACCCAUAACCCUUCAACAAAGCAGCCCCAAAUCCCUCCACUGGCAUAUCAGUAUAUUCAUCAAUCCCGUUAUGCUCUGGCAACCUCUUCAAAUCUUCCUUAAACUUAUGCAACAUCGGAUCAAUCACCUGUUUAGGGUUCGGGGUCGGAUUAGGGUUAGGGUUCGGACUAGGAUUAGGGUUUUCUGAUUGGCGGACAUUGAGGCCGUAAGAGAUUCCAUCUGACGCCGGUUCGACUCCAGCGCCAGAGUCAAGUUCGAAUUGAAGUGGUUGAUCGGCAGCAGAGGCAUCCGCUUGGAGAGGGACUUCGAGAUUUUUCAUCCUUUUGAUGGGGCGCCAUUCGUUCUGCUUGGGAGGUAUUAUGAGUGUAUCUUUGGUGGAACUAGCUGCAGCUUUGGAAGGGUCAAAUUCCGUGACGUACUCUUUUUCGAUUGGGUUUGAGG
Molecule: unclassified non-coding RNA, 488 nt
Filed under: Hevea brasiliensis (rubber tree)
Lineage: Eukaryota; Viridiplantae; Streptophyta; Magnoliopsida; Malpighiales; Euphorbiaceae
Source: RNAcentral